CAUGCAAGUCGAGCGCGGGAAGCAAGGGAUCACCUUCGGGGUGUGAACUUGUGGAACGAGCGGCGGACGGGUGAGUAACACGUGGGCAACCUACCUAUAAGAUCGGGAUAACUCGCGGAAACGCGAGCUAAUACCGGAUAAUGUAUUCCACCUCCUGGUGGAAUGAUGAAAGACGGUUUCGGCUGUCACUUAUAGAUGGGCCCGCGGCGCAUUAGCUAGUUGGUGGGGUAAUGGCUCACCAAGGCAACGAUGCGUAGCCGACCUGAGAGGGUGAUCGGCCACACUGGGACUGAGACACGGCCCAGACUCCUACGGGAGGCAGCAGUAGGGAAUCUUCCGCAAUGGACGAAAGUCUGACGGAGCAACGCCGCGUGAGUGAUGAAGGUUUUCGGAUCGUAAAACUCUGUUGUUAGGGAAGAACAAGUGUGAGAGUAACUGCUCACACCUUGACGGUACCUAACCAGAAAGCCACGGCUAACUACGUGCCAGCAGCCGCGGUAAUACGUAGGUGGCAAGCGUUGUCCGGAAUUAUUGGGCGUAAAGCGCUCGCAGGCGGUCUUUUAAGUCUGAUGUGAAAGCCCACGGCUUAACCGUGGAGGGUCAUUGGAAACUGGAGGACUUGAGUACAGAAGAGGAGAGUGGAAUUCCACGUGUAGCGGUGAAAUGCGUAGAGAUGUGGAGGAACACCAGUGGCGAAGGCGACUCUCUGGUCUGUAACUGACGCUGAGGAGCGAAAGCGUGGGGAGCGAACAGGAUUAGAUACCCUGGUAGUCCACGCCGUAAACGAUGAGUGCUAGGUGUUAGGGGGUUUCCGCCCCUUAGUGCUGCAGUUAACGCAUUAAGCACUCCGCCUGGGGAGUACGGCCGCAAGGCUGAAACUCAAAUGAAUUGACGGGG
Molecule: ribosomal RNA, 897 nt
Filed under: uncultured Bacillaceae bacterium
Lineage: Bacteria; Bacillati; Bacillota; Bacilli; Caryophanales; Bacillaceae
Description: bacterial SSU rRNA
Rfam family: Bacterial small subunit ribosomal RNA
Source: RNAcentral